Perognathus longimembris pacificus (Pacific pocket mouse) is the source of this 369-nucleotide long non-coding RNA. RefSeq lists it as uncharacterized. The transcript has 3 exons. Lineage: Eukaryota; Metazoa; Chordata; Mammalia; Rodentia; Heteromyidae. The record is from RefSeq and is a predicted model, not a curated record.
GGCGGAAGGGCAGGGCAGGAGCCGGACAUACCUCACAUUUGGCUGGGGAGAUAAGCCUGAAGUCCACAGCCCUUCCUGUCCUCACUGGGGACCCUAGGCUGUCAGGGUCCCACCAGCUACAGUUGAGAGGAACCUCUGCUGGGCCAUGCACACCUUCAGCCAUAUUACUUUUAUGGUUGGAGUUUCAUACAUUUUGGAAAACUUAGAAAUUGUAGCAGGAAGUGAGUUAAAUAAAUGAUGGUCUGCUUUCCUAGAGUUUGCCUUGUACUGUCACCUAAGAACUCUGGGCAGUUGGUCAUCAUCAUGAGACAAAGCUAUGGUGUGCUGUCCUGUGGGAGCCAAGGCUCUUAGCAGCCAACCCUUUCUUUA